This 453-nucleotide ribosomal RNA is filed under the name uncultured bacterium. Its description in RNAcentral is "bacterial SSU rRNA". It matches the Rfam family "Bacterial small subunit ribosomal RNA", at positions 8 to 507 of the family's 1533-position model. The record is from RNAcentral.
AGAGUUGAUCAUGGCUCAGAGCGAACGCUGGCGGCAAGGCCUAACACAUGCAAGUCGAACGGAUCCUUCGGGAUUAGUGGCGGACGGGUGAGUAACACGUGGGAACGUGCCUUUUGGUUCGGAACAACUCAGGGAAACUUGAGCUAAUACCGAAUGUGCCCUUCGGGGGAAAGAUUUAUCGCCAUUAGAGCGGCCCGCGUCUGAUUAGCUAGUUGGUGGGGUAAAGGCUCACCAAGGCUACGAUCAGUAGCUGGUCUGAGAGGAUGAUCAGCCACAUUGGGACUGAGACACGGCCCAAACUCCUACGGGAGGCAGCAGUGGGGAAUCUUGCGCAAUGGGCGAAAGCCUGACGCGGCCAUGCCGCGUGAAUGAUGAAGGUCUUAGGAUUGUAAAAUUCUUUCACCGGGGACGAUAAUGACGGUACCCGGAGAAGAAGCCCCGGCUAACUUCGUG